CCUACGGGAGGCUGCAGUGGGGAAUAUUGGACAAUGGGGGCAACCCUGAUCCAGCCAUGCCGCGUGUGUGAAGAAGGCCCUCGGGUUGUAAAGCACUUUCAGUGAGGAAGAACGCCUGGUGGUUAAUACCCAUCAGGAAAGACAUCACUCACAGAAGAAGCACCGGCUAACUCCGUGCCAGCAGCCGCGGUAAUACGGAGGGUGCGAGCGUUAAUCGGAAUUACUGGGCGUAAAGCGCGCGUAGGUGGCUUGAUAAGCCGGUUGUGAAAGCCCCGGGCUCAACCUGGGAACGGCAUCCGGAACUGUCAAGCUAGAGUGCAGGAGAGGAAGGUAGAAUUCCCGGUGUAGCGGUGAAAUGCGUAGAGAUCGGGAGGAAUACCAGUGGCGAAGGCGGCCUUCUGGACUGACACUGACACUGAGGUGGGAAAGCGUGGGUAGCAAACAGGAUUAGAUACCCGUGUAGUC
RNAcentral lists this ribosomal RNA (465 nucleotides) under Vreelandella stevensii. RNAcentral's name for it is "partial 16S ribosomal RNA". It matches the Rfam family "Bacterial small subunit ribosomal RNA", at positions 338 to 795 of the family's 1533-position model. Lineage: Bacteria; Pseudomonadati; Pseudomonadota; Gammaproteobacteria; Oceanospirillales; Halomonadaceae. The record is from RNAcentral.